AUACGUAGGUGGCAAGCGUUGUCCGGAUUUACUGGGUGUAAAGGGGGCGCAGGCGGGAAGCUAAGUUGGAUGUGAAAUACCGGGGCUCAACUCCGGAGCUGCAUCCAAAACUGGUUUUCUUGAGUGGAGUAGAGGCAAGCGGAAUUCCGAGUGUAGCGGUGAAAUGCGUAGAUAUUCGGAGGAACACCAGUGGCGAAGGCGGCAUGCUGAGCUCUAACGGACGCUGAGGCCCGAAAGCGUGGGGAGCAAACAGGUUUAGAUACCCUGGUAGUCCACGCCGUAAACGAUGAUGACUAGCCGUCGGCGAUAGACAGCCGGUGGCCAAGCGAAAGCGAUAAGUCAUCCACCUGGGGAGUACGUCGGCAACGAUGAAACUCAAAUGAAUUGGCGGGG
This 393-nucleotide ribosomal RNA is filed under the name uncultured bacterium. RNAcentral's name for it is "partial 16S ribosomal RNA". It matches the Rfam family "Bacterial small subunit ribosomal RNA", at positions 523 to 918 of the family's 1533-position model. The record is from RNAcentral.